RNAcentral lists this ribosomal RNA (253 nucleotides) under uncultured bacterium. Its description in RNAcentral is "partial 16S ribosomal RNA". It matches the Rfam family "Bacterial small subunit ribosomal RNA", at positions 524 to 776 of the family's 1533-position model. The record is from RNAcentral.
UACAGAGGUCUCAAGCGUUGUUCGGAUUCAUUGGGCGUAAAGGGUGCGCAGGUGGCGCGGCAAGUCGGAUGUGAAAUCCCGGGGCUCAACCCCGGAACUGCAUUCGAUACUGCCGUGCUAGAGUGCUGGAGAGGAGAUUGGAAUUUACGGUGUAGCAGUGAAAUGCGUAGAUAUCAGAAGGAACAUCAGUGGCGAAGGCGGCUUUCUGGACCAAUACUGACGAUCAGGUGCGAAAGCGUGGGGAGCAAACAGG